AACAUUUCUAGCUUGCUAGAAGAUGACGAGUGGCGGACGGGUGAGUAAUGCUUGGGAACUUGCCUUUGCGAGGGGGAUAACAGUUGGAAACGACUGCUAAUACCGCAUAAUGUCUUCGGACCAAACGGGGCUUCGGCUCCGGCGCAAAGAGAGGCCCAAGUGAGAUUAGCUAGUUGGUAAGGUAACGGCUUACCAAGGCGACGAUCUCUAGCUGUUCUGAGAGGAAGAUCAGCCACACUGGGACUGAGACACGGCCCAGACUCCUACGGGAGGCAGCAGUGGGGAAUAUUGCACAAUGGGGGAAACCCUGAUGCAGCCAUGCCGCGUGUGUGAAGAAGGCCUUCGGGUUGUAAAGCACUUUCAGUUGUGAGGAAAAGUUAGUAGUUAAUACCUGCUAGCCGUGACGUUAACAACAGAAGAAGCACCGGCUAACUCCGUGCCAGCAGCCGCGGUAAUACGGAGGGUGCGAGCGUUAAUCGGAAUUACUGGGCGUAAAGCGCACGCAGGCGGUUUGUUAAGCUAGAUGUGAAAGCCCCGGGCUCAACCUGGGAUGGUCAUUUAGAACUGGCAGACUAGAGUCUUGGAGAGGGGAGUGGAAUUCCAGGUGUAGCGGUGAAAUGCGUAGAUAUCUGGAGGAACAUCAGUGGCGAAAGCGACUCCCUGGCCCAAAGACUGACGCUCAUGUGCGAAAGUGUGGGUAGCGAACAGGAUUAGAUACCCUGGGUAGUCC
Molecule: ribosomal RNA, 730 nt
Filed under: uncultured Alteromonas sp.
Lineage: Bacteria; Pseudomonadati; Pseudomonadota; Gammaproteobacteria; Alteromonadales; Alteromonadaceae
Description: bacterial SSU rRNA
Rfam family: Bacterial small subunit ribosomal RNA
Source: RNAcentral